Molecule: ribosomal RNA, 568 nt
Filed under: uncultured archaeon
Lineage: Archaea
Description: bacterial SSU rRNA
Rfam family: Archaeal small subunit ribosomal RNA
Source: RNAcentral
CGCGAAUUCGCCCUUCGGGGUGCACCAGGCGCGAAAACUUUACAAUGCGGGAAACCGUGAUAAGGGGACACCGAGUGCCAGCAUCAUAUGCUGGCUGUCCAGGUGUGUAAAAUACACCUGUUAGCAAGGGCCGGGCAAGACCGGUGCCAGCCGCCGCGGUAACACCGGCGGCCCGAGUGGUGAUCGUGAUUAUUGGGUCUAAAGGGUCCGUAGCCGGUUUGGUCAGUCCUCCGGGAAAUCUGAUAGCUCAACUAUUAGGCUAUCGGGGGAUACUGCCAGGCUUGGAACCGGGAGAGGUAAGAGGUACUACAGGGGUAGGAGUGAAAUCUUGUAAUCCCUGUGGGACCACCUGUGGCGAAGGCGUCUUACCAGAACGGGUUCGACGGUGAGGGACGAAAGCUGGGGGCACGAACCGGAUUAGAUACCCGGGUAGUCCCAGCCGUAAACGAUGCUCGCUAGGUGUCAGGCAUGGCGCGACCGUGUCUGGUGCCGCAGGGAAGCCGUGAAGCGAGCCACCUGGGAAGUACGGCCGCAAGGCUGAAACUUAAAGGAAUUGGCGGGGGAGCAC